GACGAACGCUGGCGGCGUGCUUAACACAUGCAAGUCGAACGAGAUCCACGAGGUGGUAACACCUCGGAAGAUCUAGUGGCGAACGGGUGAGUAACACGUGAGGAACCUGCCCCGGACUCUGGGAGUAACUACAGGGAAACGUUAGAGCUAAUACCGGAUACCCUCUCGAGAUUGCAUGGUCUCUUGAGGAAAGUUUUUCGG
RNAcentral lists this ribosomal RNA (201 nucleotides) under uncultured bacterium. RNAcentral's name for it is "partial 16S ribosomal RNA". It matches the Rfam family "Bacterial small subunit ribosomal RNA", at positions 28 to 214 of the family's 1533-position model. The record is from RNAcentral.